GCAUUCUGGAUUCAUUACAAAACUAAAAUAUUGCAAGCCUUUUAUUCUUUUAAUAUUGCUGAUUAUGGCUUACAGCUUAAGAAAACUCAAAUAUCCUAUCUCUAAAUAUUAGAAUAUUUCCUCAGACCAAGUAAAAAAAAAGAUUUAUAACAGCAAAACAAAAUCAAACAUUUGAAAAUGUCCAUUAAUGUACUUGGUUGGGAAUCCUUUUGCACGGAUUACUGCAUCAAUGCGGCGUGGCAUGGAGGCAAUCAGCCUGUGGCAUUGCUGAGGUUUUAUGGAUGCCCAGGAUGCUUCAAUAGCAGCCUUCAGCUCAUUUGCAUUGUUGGGUCUGGUGUCUUUCAGCUUCUUUUUCACAAUACCCCACAAAUUCUCUAUGGGGUUCAGGUCAGGGGAAUUGGCAGGCUAAUCGAGGACAGUAAUGCCAUGGUCAGUACACCAGUUACUGGGGGUUUUGGCACUGUGGGCAGGUGCCAGAUCAUGCUGGAAAAUGAAAUCCUCAUCUCCAUAGAGCUUUUCAGCAGACGGAAGCAUGUAGUGCUCUAAAAUCUCUUGGUACACAGCUGCAUUUACUCUGGACUUGAUGAAACACAGUGGACCAACACCAGCAGCUGACAUGGCUCCCCAAACCAUCACUGACUGUGGGAACUUCACACUGGAUUUCAAGCAACUUGGAUUUUGCUCCUCUCCAGCCUCUGGCGCCUUGACUUCCAAAUGAACACUUGCUUUCGUCUGAAAAGGAGACUUUGGACCACUCUGCAACUGUCCGGUGCUUCUUUUCCAUAGCCCACGUCAGACGCUUCUUCCGUUGUCUUGAGUUCAGAAGUGGAUGUGCUUUGAAACUGCACUCUGUGAACAGCUUGCUCUUUGAGAAAUUUCUUUUUGUGUCUUACCCUCCAUCAGGAGGGUGUCAAUGAUGGUCCUCUGGACAGCAGUCAGAUCAGCAGUCUUCCCCAUACUUGUGAUUUAAGUUUACUGAACCAAGCCGAGUGUUUUUCAAGGCUCAGGAAACCCUUGCAGGUGUUGAGUUAAUUAGACGAUUCAAGUGAUUAGUUGAAUACCCUACUAGUAUACUUUUGCAUGAUAUUCUAAUAUUUAGAGAUGGGAUAUUUUAAGCUGUAAGCCAUAAACAGCAAUAUUAAAAGAAUAAAAGGCUUGCAAUAUUUCAGUUGAUUUGUAAUGAAUCCAGAAUGCAUGACAUGUUUUUUUAAUUGCAUUACAGAAAAUAAAGAACUUUAUCAAAAUAUUCUAAUUUUCUGAGACAGUCCUGUAUAUGCGUGGAAGUGGUAUGAAACGGGUGUGGUGUGAGAACCCAGGUGAGCAGGGGGCUACAUAUAAAUAAAUGUUCUCCACCCACCAAACAUAAGUUUGUGACCGUGAACGUUACGCUUUGUGCCAAACUAAAGCGUUACGAAGGUGGUGGUGUUGAAAAGUGACCAGAGGCCAGCGGAUAACUCUUUUAAUCCACAGCCAAUUCCUCAAUAUGCAUGUCUUAACAGCGUCACAAAUCUAGCGCCUACGUUACAUUGUUACAGCAACGGUAGUCCACAAAGUCAAAUGUAGUCUAUAUGUUUUUCAUGGUGGAAAUGCAACAUUGCCUCUUAAAAAGUAUAUAAAAUAUGCAAACGUUAAAGAAUGUCUAAAGAAAACUCACUCACACGAGGUAAAAACGGUGAUCACGAGACAAGACAAACUAUGGCUAUGGACACUGCUGGUAUGACGACGUAGAUUGACACACUGGCACAAGACUGUCACGAUGUAGGUCCUCGGGGCGCAGAGUCAGCACGACACGGCUGGUUGCAAUAUAACAAUUCUUUAUUCGAAGUUUUCACACACAGAGCAGUGAGGUCUCCGCGUCUCUCUCUCCCUCGCCGCCGCUCUCACUGCUCUUAAAAAGACAUAAACACAGGGUUAGAGUAGCAUCAGCUGUGCUGAUGCCAAUUGCUCCCACCUGGCACGGUUCCCUGAGCCACUCCCCCCUCUCUCCCGCUGCAGACGAGCCAAAACCACGCCCGCCACCACAAAGACAAAGGGAGAUGCAGGCUGUAAGAACUCAUGGGGGGGGAAGAGAACAGGUGGACACAAUCAGGAAUCGAGGGACAAAGACGCAACUAGACAUACAGGUGUGACGAGUGAUCCAUACAGUCAGGAGCACCUAUUUGAGUAAAGUCCUGUACCAACGGACUCCGUCCGCUACGUAAAAAGUCUGGAAGUACUACAACAGCAACGGACAGCUUGAGGAAAGAAGAAACCUGUGUCUGGUGGUCAUACAGUUCUCCAUUAGUUAUUAUUCUCAUGUGUCUCUAUCUAUCAAUAAAUCCAUCAAUUUACACUGCUGCUGCAGAUGAAGUUGCACAUUUCUAACGUUUGAAAUGAAAGUCUUAAACCUCUUUUUAGAAAUGUUGGAGCUUUCAAUGUUAGUGAAGUUAAAAAGUCAAUCUAAAUAGUCUUGGGUCUAAUUGAUUGAAAUUCCCUCAGGUUGUAGCUGUGAAAUGAAAUACAAGCAUUUACUAUCUGUUGACUUCAUUUGUAUUGGACACUGGGGCACGAACGCUGGAGGAAAAAACUGUUUUUAGGAAAAUUUUGGUGAAAUUUCAAUCCGAGAGUUAGCUUUUUUUAAACUUUGUUGAUCCUUUCUCACUUUUUUCAGGCAUGAAAAUCCCUCACCUUUCGGCGAAAUUUGCCGUUUUUUGGGGGGUAAUUCAUAUUCAGUGAACUGCGAACAGGUGCGCGUGUCAGAAGGGAGCGCGAGAUUCAGUGCGAACAGGGUGAGUGAUGGUUUUAAUAUUUUCUGGUAUAUCCAAGUUAAGUUACCCAGGAGCUUUGUUGACAUAGACUUAGCUAACGUUAGCUACAGCUUGAUGAAUUGAGUCAUUUAACACAGCAGGAGAGAACGCAACGUUGGCCAGCUAGCUAAAGCUCCGGUGGAAAAUGAUUAGCUAACGCUAGCGUUUUUGAGGAGGUAGAUUUAGAGGUGAGGGGACCGACGAGGCAGAAGGUAAAGUGCUCCACCGUUCUAUGCAAUAAGCAGACCUGCCAACCUGAUACGCAUUCUGACUUCGAAUGACUCGAAGAAAGAUUUGUUCAUUUUACUGAACGAGAUUCAAAGAAUCGAGUCGGUAAAAUGGUCGGUAAUAUCUUACCACCCCCCCGUCAACGAAUGACUCGAAGAAAUCUCUGGGACAAAACCAGUUGAAAACCCCUGCCCUAGAGGGGUAAUAUCCUUCUCACCUUUUUCACCCUUGACCCGUUUUCAUGCCUGUUCUUUUACCUGAUGUUUUGAUUCACUCAUGGCUCCAUUUCCCACUGAUAGACAGCUUUGUCUUUAAUCAGAGAUUGGCGGGUUGAUGCCAAUGAGUCCCAUGGGCAAGGCACAUUUCCCAAAAAAGGUUGGCGUCUGUGCAUGUCACAUGAAUGUUAGAUAGUCCUGAUGGAGGGGUGUAACCCUUGCUUUGCUCUGCCAUCAGUGUGUGAAUUGGUGAAUCAUGUGUGGUGGAAAAAUUGCUGAUCCCGCUAGCGUGGUUCCAUAAGAUGUUGAGAUAAAAAUGUUACAAAACUUUUCUUUUAUAGCUUCAUUCUUUGCAAAGAAGGUUCAAUUUCUGUGCAAAGUGCAGACAGUGUGCUCGAGAAAGAACUAACCUGAAAACAGUUGUUGUACAAUAUGACAGAUACAAAAACAGCAGGUGCAGGUGGUUUACAUCCCUGCAACACAAUUCCUUUUCAAGGUCAGCGCAGUGAGAGAGCAGAAGAAGAAACAAAGAGAUCCGGUGAAUGGAGUCCAACUCAGAUAGGUGGCCUCUUGUAUCUCGGAGUGAAAGUGGGAGUUACGCUGGUGAAACAGUCUGUACUACCAACAUGUCGCUACAGUUAAAAGUUUAAAGGAGACAUUCUUAUUGUUCUUACUUUGACCAUCAACAAGAGCUCCAUGUAAUGCUAUUGGAAUUGAGCUCAGGUAUAGGUAAAAGCAUAGAAAGUAAAAAAAAACACAAUAAUAUAAAAAAUAUGCUGAUACCAUUUAUAAGAAUAUAACAAUGUACAUUUUUCCUGUCAUAUAUAGUUUUAAAAAUGAACAAGGACAGAAAAUAGUAAAGAUUUAAUUAUACAGUUUACCAGUCCAAACUGUCCAAACGUUUCGAGUGGUUCUCUCUCUCUCUCUCUCUCUCUCUAUAUAUAUAUAUAUAUAUAUAUAUAU
This is a long non-coding RNA of Gasterosteus aculeatus aculeatus (three-spined stickleback), 4192 nucleotides long. The record is from Ensembl. NCBI's taxonomy places the organism in Eukaryota, Metazoa, Chordata, Actinopteri, Perciformes, Gasterosteidae.